AGCGAAGUGAGCACGACUACGGGCUGACAAUCUACAAAAUCCGGUUAACUUGAGGAGAGAAGGCAGCUUUCGCUCUGCCGUUCAACGUAGGACUCAAUUAAAAUCUCGUUUUAGGUGAUCAAUUUCUUUGCUAUAAUUUCACGAAAAUUCGAUUUACCUACUGGGCCAGCAAUCUUGGUCAAGGGAAAAAAAAGCGGAUCAAAAUGAAGAAGAUAUAACAAGACUACAAACUCACUAUAAUCGUUAUCUCAUUGAAGUGUCUUUGAUACCAUCUGCCAUGGAAACGAGAACUUCGGACGACUCUAAGCCUUGAUAUGCGAACUUCUUGAUUAAUCGAAUAAUCGAGGACCCAGUAGCAUAAAAGCGAUUCAAGAUGUUCGUGAAAAUGAUCGAUCAUCGAGCAUAAUUAGAAUCUAGGAACGGAAAAGUAUAGAACACCAUCAUAUAGGUGUAAUUAUUCUUUGCAAGAAUUACAAGUCCAGAUACAUUGUUACUCGACUCAUAGUUUAAUUUGAGCGAUGCCUGGGUUUUUGAUAUAUUUACUUUUAACCAAGAUUAAAGACUAUUGAAAUAUAAAGUUUACGACGUCAAUGUACUGCCGUAGUAUUAAAAUAUGAAAAA
Vespa velutina is the source of this 621-nucleotide long non-coding RNA. RefSeq lists it as uncharacterized. The transcript has 3 exons. NCBI's taxonomy places the organism in Eukaryota, Metazoa, Arthropoda, Insecta, Hymenoptera, Vespidae. The record is from RefSeq and is a predicted model, not a curated record.